RNAcentral lists this ribosomal RNA (537 nucleotides) under uncultured bacterium. RNAcentral describes it as "bacterial SSU rRNA". It matches the Rfam family "Bacterial small subunit ribosomal RNA", at positions 777 to 1312 of the family's 1533-position model. The record is from RNAcentral.
AAUAGAUACCCGGGUAGUCCACGCCGUAAACGAUGAGUGCUAAGUGUUAGAGGGUUUCCGCCCUUUAGUGCUGCAGCUAACGCAUUAAGCACUCCGCCUGGGGAGUACGGUCGCAAGACUGAAACUCAAAGGAAUUGACGGGGGCCCGCACAAGCGGUGGAGCAUGUGGUUUAAUUCGAAGCAACGCGAAGAACCUUACCAGGUCUUGACAUCCUCUGACAACUCUAGAGAUAGGGCGUUCCCCUUCGGGGGACAGAGUGACAGGUGGUGCAUGGUUGUCGUCAGCUCGUGUCGUGAGAUGUUGGGUUAAGUCCCGCAACGAGCGCAACCCUUGAUCUUAGUUGCCAGCAUUUAGUUGGGCACUCUAAGGUGACUGCCGGUGACAAACCGGAGGAAGGUGGGGAUGACGUCAAAUCAUCAUGCCCCUUAUGACCUGGGCUACACACGUGCUACAAUGGAUGGUACAAAGGGCUGCAAGACCGCGAGGUCAAGCCAAUCCCAUAAAACCAUUCCCAGUUCGGAUUGUAGGCUGCUAAC